UCACGGAGAUAGGAUUUUGCUAUGCCUAUCCGUGCGGCACUUAGUCGCCUUUGGUUGCUAGGACGAGCUAAGUAAGCCUUUGGGAUUGUAAUGCAGCGGAAAUGAGAACUAAGUAGAGAAGAGAACACAAGAGAGCUUUGUUGUAGAACUCUUACUACCCAAAUGCUUUGUAUUACAUGAAUUGCUUGGCUAAGCUUGGUUUUCUUGGUUGAUUUACAAAUGAAGUGAGGGGUGGUAUUUAUAGCCACUUCCACCUCCUUAAUGGACGGCUAGGAUUUAGCCUACAAAUAUCAACGGUCUAGAUUACAUGGAUAAUUCUAGACUAAUGUAGACACUACACAAAAUAUCUCCUUGUGUGGAG
This 361-nucleotide long non-coding RNA is filed under the name Jatropha curcas. RNAcentral describes it as "long non-coding RNA (JCUR_LNC001935)". Lineage: Eukaryota; Viridiplantae; Streptophyta; Magnoliopsida; Malpighiales; Euphorbiaceae. The record is from RNAcentral.